Molecule: ribosomal RNA, 326 nt
Filed under: uncultured eukaryote
Lineage: Eukaryota
Description: partial 18S ribosomal RNA
Rfam family: Eukaryotic small subunit ribosomal RNA
Source: RNAcentral
CCCUUAGAUGUUCUGGGCCGCACGCGCGCUACACUGAUGCAUUCAACGAGCCUAUCCUUGACCGACAGGUCCGGGUAAUCUUUGAAUCUGCAUCGUGACGGGGAUAGAUUAUUGCAAUUAUUAAUCUUCAACGAGGAAUGCCUAGUAAACGCAAGUCAUCAGCUUGCAUUGAUUACGUCCCUGCCCUUUGUACACACCGCCCGUCGCUCCUACCGAUUGAAUGAUCCGAUGAAUAUCAUGGAUUGAGGAUGUAAGCAGGUUCGCCUGUCUUCAUCUUCGAGAAGUGAAGUAAAUCUUAUCAUUUAGAGGAAGGAGAAGUCGUAACA